CCUACGGGAGGCAGCAGUGGGGAAUAUUGCACAAUGGGGGAAACCCUGAUGCAGCGACGCCGCGUGAGUGAGGAAGUAUUUCGGUAUGUAAAGCUCUAUCAGCAGGGAAGAAAAUGACGGUACCUGACUAAGAAGCCCCGGCUAACUACGUGCCAGCAGCCGCGGUAAUACGUAGGGGGCAAGCGUUAUCCGGAUUUACUGGGUGUAAAGGGAGCGUAGACGGAUAAGCAAGUCUGAUGUGAAAAUCCGGGGCUCAACCCCGGAAUUGCAUUGGAAACUGCAUAUCUAGAGUGUCGGAGAGGCAAGUGGAAUGCCUGGUGUAGCGGUGAAAUGCGUAGAUAUCAGGAGGAACACCAGUGGCGAAGGCGGCUUGCUGGACGAUGACUGACGUUGAGGCUCGAAAGCGUGGGGAGCAAACAGGAUUAGAUACCCCAGUAGUC
Molecule: ribosomal RNA, 440 nt
Filed under: uncultured bacterium
Lineage: Bacteria
Description: partial 16S ribosomal RNA
Rfam family: Bacterial small subunit ribosomal RNA
Source: RNAcentral